UGACUCCAAUUGAACCGCAGCUUCACCCCUUGUGGUGCUCCCCCGCCAAUUCCUUUAAGUUUCAUACUUGCGUACGUACUUCCCAGGCGGCAGACUUAACGGCUUCCCUGCGGCACUGCAUUGGCCACAAGCCAAUGCAUCACCGAGUCUGCAUCGUUUACAGCUGGGACUACCCGGGUAUCUAAUCCGGUUUGCUCCCCCAGCUUUCAUCCCUCACCGUCGAACGUGUUCUGGUACACCGCCUUCGCCACAGGUGGUCUUCAAUAGAUCAAAGGAUUUUACCCCUUCCUAUCGAGUACCGUGUACCUCUCCCACUCCCUAGCUGCACAGUAUUUUCGGCGGCCUAUACGUUAAGCGCAUAGAUUUAACCGAAAACUUAUGCAACCGGCUACGGAUGCUUUAGGCCCAAUAAACCUCCUGACCACUCGAGGUGCUGGUUUUACCGCGGCGGCUGACACCAGAACUUGCCCACCCCUUAUUCACCAGUGAUUCUACAACUGACAAAAGACUCCUUUAGCAGGAGACACUCGGAUUAACCUUGUCGUGCUUUCGCACAUUGCAAAGGUUUCUCGCCUGCUGCGCCCCAUAGGGCCUGGGUCCGUGUCUCAGUUACCAUCUCCGGGGCCCUCCUCUCAGAGCCCGUACCUGUUAUAGCCUGGUUGGGCAUUAACUUACCAAAAAGCUGAUAGGC
RNAcentral lists this ribosomal RNA (691 nucleotides) under uncultured archaeon. Its description in RNAcentral is "partial 16S ribosomal RNA". The record is from RNAcentral.